CUGCUCUAUACUGAGAAGAACAUCCUGACUCCAAGUUGAUGAAUUUUACCUGUGUCUCUGCAACUAAGUCUCACUGACAUCGAAGGAUAUUUUCUUUAGUUCAAAAGGUCAAAUGGCAGUAUCCUGAAUUAUCAACUCACAGACCACUGAGUCUCGCUAUGCAGUUCAGACCGGCCUUGAACUCACUAUGGAGCCCAACUGACCUUGAACUCUCAGUUAUCCUCCUGCCUCAGCCUCCCAAGUGUUGGGAUUAUAGGCCUGCACCAUCAUGCCUGGCAUCAUUAAUAUUUUUUUUAGGGACAUUCAUGUUUGAUUUGUGGCAAUAAUUCACUCAUUUUUAUUGCUUUAUCAUAACUGAUUGUAUAAAUAUACCACAAUUGUAUUUUUGUGGAUAUUUUAUUAUUUAGGCCUUUAUUAAAAAAUGCUGCUAUACACAUUUGCAUACAUAUCUUUGAAUGCAUUUAUGUAAUGUUUCUUUAGGACAUGUCCCUUGGAGUAGAAGUUUUGGGCAAUAAGAUAUGCAUAUGUUCAGCUAUAGCACACACUGCCAAACAGUUUUCCAAAUUAGUAUUCCAAGUUAACCCUCAACAUUUGGUAUUAUCAUUCUUUUUACUUUUAACCAUUCAGGUGGGCGCCUAGUGAUAGAACUCUGCUAUUUUAAUUUGUAUUCUCCCCGUGACUAAUGAUGUUUUCAGUGCCUUUUCCUGUGUUUAUUGACCAUUCAAGCAUCCUGUUUCUAUUAAAUUUUUGUCUUUAGC
Heterocephalus glaber (naked mole-rat) is the source of this 758-nucleotide long non-coding RNA. NCBI's taxonomy places the organism in Eukaryota, Metazoa, Chordata, Mammalia, Rodentia, Bathyergidae. The record is from Ensembl.